GCCUCUGAUGAUGAUCACCAAAUAACUUUCGUUCUUCCAAGGUUUAUUAUCUAUGCGGAAAUUAAUGGAGACCUGAACUGAAGAGGC
This is a small nucleolar RNA of Papaver somniferum (opium poppy), 87 nucleotides long. RefSeq annotates it as small nucleolar RNA Z159/U59. The transcript has a single exon. The record is from RefSeq and is a predicted model, not a curated record. NCBI's taxonomy places the organism in Eukaryota, Viridiplantae, Streptophyta, Magnoliopsida, Ranunculales, Papaveraceae.